AUGGCGACCGGCGUACGGGUGAGUAACGCGUAUCCAACCUGCCCUUUACUAUGGGACAGCCCGUCGAAAGGCGGAUUAAUACCGUAUGUUGUCAUGCUGAUGCAUAUUUUCAUGACCAAAGGCUUCGGCCGGUAAAGGAUGGGGAUGCGUCUGAUUAGCUUGCCGGCGGGGUAACGGCCCACCGGGGCGACGAUCAGUAGGGGUUCUGAGAGGAAGGUCCCCCACAUUGGAACUGAGACACGGUCCAAACUCCUACGGAAGGCAGCAG
This 268-nucleotide ribosomal RNA is filed under the name uncultured bacterium. RNAcentral describes it as "partial 16S ribosomal RNA". It matches the Rfam family "Bacterial small subunit ribosomal RNA", at positions 88 to 354 of the family's 1533-position model. The record is from RNAcentral.